RNAcentral lists this non-coding RNA (88 nucleotides) under Pseudomonas sp. 29. The record is from RNAcentral. Lineage: Bacteria; Pseudomonadati; Pseudomonadota; Gammaproteobacteria; Pseudomonadales; Pseudomonadaceae.
GUGGGAGCGAGCUUGCUCGCGAAUGCGGUUAUUCAUUCAGCAUUGAUGUUGGCUGACAUGACGCCUUCGCGAGCAAGCUCGCUCCCAC